GGAGAAAAGCUUAUUUUCUUAAAAAUAAAUACCAAGGCUGCUAUAGAGAAUCCCAAAAAUACUUCCGUAACUCGAAUGCAAAAUGUUGGUAUUUAUAGGAAUGAAUUUGGGUUCUUGGCUCAAGUUUUAGCGGGAUUUCAAGAAUCAAAUUAGUCAUUUUGAAUUCAAAAUUCAUCUCUGAACUUACUCUGUCCAAAUCGCAGAAGUCUCUUG
Molecule: long non-coding RNA, 213 nt
Filed under: Solanum tuberosum (potato)
Lineage: Eukaryota; Viridiplantae; Streptophyta; Magnoliopsida; Solanales; Solanaceae
Description: long non-coding RNA (STUB_LNC001363)
Source: RNAcentral